AGACGUCUUGCUAACAGCCUCCACUGCAGCCGCCUUCACCGUCCAGCAGGAGGCAGCAGAGACUGAAGCAGACACAGAGGAAGACGAGGAGGAGGAGAUCAGACAGACUGAUGAAGAGGAGCAGACUGAAGAGGCUGAAGAUGAAGAUAGUGUUCUUACCAGUCAUGCUGCUGCUCAUAUGGAUGAAGAGGAGGAUGAAGAGCCGAC
This is a long non-coding RNA of Scomber scombrus (Atlantic mackerel), 207 nucleotides long. RefSeq lists it as uncharacterized. The record is from RefSeq and is a predicted model, not a curated record. NCBI's taxonomy places the organism in Eukaryota, Metazoa, Chordata, Actinopteri, Scombriformes, Scombridae. The transcript has 3 exons.